GAAAUGCGAUAAGUAAUGUGAAUUGCAGAAUUCAGUGAAUCAUCGAAUCUUUGAACGCACAUUGCGCCCACCAGUAUUCUGGCGGGCAUGCCUGUCCGAGCGUCAUUUCAACCAUCAAGCCCCCGGGCUUGUGUUGGGGACCUGCGGCUGCCCGCAGGCCCUGAAAACCAGUGGCGGGCUCGCUGUCACACCGAGCGUAGUAGCAAUCACCUCGCUCAGGGCGUGCUGCGGGUUCCGGCCGUUAAACAGCCUUACAAAACCCAAGGUUGACCUCGGAUCAGGUAGGAAUACCCGCUGAACUUAAGC
RNAcentral lists this unclassified non-coding RNA (306 nucleotides) under plant metagenome. RNAcentral describes it as "partial contains 5.8S ribosomal RNA, internal transcribed spacer 2, and large subunit ribosomal RNA". The stretch from base 1 to 105 matches the Rfam family "5.8S ribosomal RNA", at positions 50 to 154 of the family's 154-position model. The record is from RNAcentral.